RNAcentral lists this transfer RNA (97 nucleotides) under Rhodotorula graminis WP1. It matches the Rfam family "tRNA". From Rfam's summary of the family: Transfer RNA (tRNA) molecules are approximately 80 nucleotides in length. The record is from Rfam by way of RNAcentral. Lineage: Eukaryota; Fungi; Basidiomycota; Microbotryomycetes; Sporidiobolales; Sporidiobolaceae.
GGUGUUUUGGCCGAGCGGUCUAAGGCGCUAGCUUAAGGACGUCUCCUGGAUGAUCCGCUAGUCCGAAAGGGCGUGAGUUCGAAUCUCACAGACAUCA